GAGCAGGCGAAGAUGGCACCAUGUACUUGUGUGUAUAUAUAUAUGUACCUCACUCCACUUCACUUCACUUCACUUCACAUCACUUCUCCUCACUUAAUGCAGCAACUUGAAUGGGCGUGUCCACGCCCUCAUCCUAUUUGGCACACAUUCCGUAAAACCCGCGUAAACAAAAGGCCCACGAACGCGCGCACUGAUGAAUCUCCGAAGUGCAUUCAACGUUGCCUUUGCCCAAAACCGUUUGAAACUUUUGCCUUAGCGCGCUCUCGCUUGGAUCGGACUCUGACUCUGGCUCUGUUUCUGUUUCUGGCUUCUUGUGGGUUCCGAGCGACUCGAUUUUCCCGCUCGACGUCCGAC
RNAcentral lists this long non-coding RNA (354 nucleotides) under Drosophila guanche. The record is from RNAcentral. Lineage: Eukaryota; Metazoa; Arthropoda; Insecta; Diptera; Drosophilidae.